ACAGCACCAAUUUGUAAGUCGCUCUGGAUAAGAGCGUCUGCUAAAUGACUUAAA
Non-coding RNA from Salmo salar (Atlantic salmon), 54 nucleotides. The record is from Rfam. Lineage: Eukaryota; Metazoa; Chordata; Actinopteri; Salmoniformes; Salmonidae.